AUUACUUGAUCAUCAUCAACAUCAUUUAUCAAUACAUCUAAAUCAUCGGAAAACGUACGCACAUAGCAUUAAAAGAAGAAGAAGAAAAUCAUUCAUUUAACCAUGGCCAAGAUUAGCGUGUUCCUCAGCUUCCUUUUGUUCGUCUUGAUUGCCAUGCCAACAUCUUCUUCCAGCAGGAUGAUACUCGAGGAAGUUGAAGCUAAACACAAGUGCCCCAAAGUUCUGUGCCUACAAGUUGUGUGUCCACAAACAGUUUUUUGCCCACAAGCUGUGCUUGAAUGCCCAAAUGGUCAAUAUAAGCCGUGCUGUGGCUGCCCAAGAUGCUGUUAGCUUACCUGAGGGACACUGAUCGUAGUAUAUCACAUAUUUUAUUCUUAAUAUAAUGUAUUAUUGUUGGUAUUAAUAGCGUAUUGGAUGUAAUAGAACAUACGUAUAUGCACGUAAUUUCUUCAGAAAGUAAUAAAAUGCAUGUAGUUCCAUGUUUGAAAAUGAAUUAAAUUCCUAAGCUUAUUGAAAA
Molecule: long non-coding RNA, 517 nt
Organism: Papaver somniferum (opium poppy)
Lineage: Eukaryota; Viridiplantae; Streptophyta; Magnoliopsida; Ranunculales; Papaveraceae
Exons: 2
Source: RefSeq, a predicted model, not a curated record